Small nucleolar RNA from Suricata suricatta (meerkat), 129 nucleotides. Its record names the gene SNORA72. It matches the Rfam family "Small nucleolar RNA SNORA72". From Rfam's summary of the family: U72 is a member of the H/ACA class of snoRNAs. NCBI's taxonomy places the organism in Eukaryota, Metazoa, Chordata, Mammalia, Carnivora, Herpestidae. The record is from Ensembl.
CUGCAAAUAUUCUUGCUGUUCUGAUUUUGUAAUAAUCAUGGUGGGCUAAACUUCACUACAUUAAGAUGAUGCAUGUUUCCAGACCUGAUUCUUUCCCUAGGUCUGCUUUUAUCGGUGCUUGUGAUAAAC